RNAcentral lists this ribosomal RNA (263 nucleotides) under uncultured bacterium. RNAcentral describes it as "partial 16S ribosomal RNA". The record is from RNAcentral.
CUGCUGCCUUCCGUAGGAGUUUGGGCCGUGUCUCAGUCCCAAUGUGGCCGUCCACCCUCUCAGGCCGGCUACUGAUCGUCGCCUUGGUGGGCCGUUACCCCGCCAACAAGCUAAUCAGACGCGGGUCCAUCUUACACCACUAAUGUUUUUCACUCUGUCCCAUGCGGGACUGUGCGCUUAUGCGGUAUUAGCACCUAUUUCUAAGUGUUAUCCCCCUGUGUAAGGCAGGUUACCCACGCGUUACUCACCCGUCCGCCACUAAG